AAAUCGCAUAGGCUAAUACCCUGUGUGGAUGACGGUACCGGAAUAAGAAGCACCGGCUAACUACGUGCCAGCAGCCGCGGUAAUACGUAGGGUGCGAGCGUUAAUCGGAAUUACUGGGCGUAAAGCGUGCGCAGGCGGUUUAGUAAGACAGGCGUGAAAUCCCCGGGCUCAACCUGGGAACUGCGCUUGUGACUGCUAAGCUAGAGUACGGCAGAGGGGGGUGGAAUUCCACGUGUAGCAGUGAAAUGCGUAGAGAUGUGGAGGAACACCGAUGGCGAAGGCAGCCCCCUGGGCCGAUACUGACGCUCAUGCACGAAAGCGUGGGUAGCAAACAGGAUUAGAUACCCUGGUAGUCCACGCCCUAAACGAUGUCAACUAGGUGUUGGGAGGGUAAAACCUUUUAGUACCGGAGCUAACGCGUGAAGUUGACCGCCUGGGGAGUACGGCCGCAAGGUUAAAAACUCAAAG
RNAcentral lists this ribosomal RNA (468 nucleotides) under uncultured bacterium. RNAcentral's name for it is "bacterial SSU rRNA". It matches the Rfam family "Bacterial small subunit ribosomal RNA", at positions 449 to 906 of the family's 1533-position model. The record is from RNAcentral.